UGCAGUUGUAUUUGUACAUAAGAAGCGUUACAUAAUGAAAUACAUUUUACAGUUUAUUGUGAGAUUGAUGUAAUUUCCUGCGACAGUUUCCUUGAUUACUCUGCAUAAAUUGGAGGAUUAAAAAAUAUAUAAAUGCAACUGCAGAGACUUAUAUAACUAUACCACACGUUCACGCUUCAUAUCAAUGUUUAAAAAAAAAAACGGUAUUGAUAAUUCACAAAUUAUCCACACCAGCAACCCGGUGAAGGAAUUAAUCGUUAACCAAACAUCGUUAAAAACGAAGUGCAAUCGAAUGAAGGAAUUUGAAUGUUUGAAAAAUAUUUCUGUCCCCAUACGCCAAGGAUGACAUGCGCACGUCCCACUCACCAACACUACGUGGUGUGCGUUUUGGAAGUUUUCAGCUGUGGACGUUGUAGUGAGUGGGUGGGGAACAAACCAAGUAUAAUAGUUAGUUACAUAGUUUAACGUUAAAACCACAGAUAUCUACACUGUACUCAAAAUUGUUAGGAGUAGGUUGUAUAGUAUAUUACAUAUUAAUAUAACGUGCACCGUACACGCAGGAUACGUUCAGUAUUUGACAAACUGCAGCUAAAAUAAAUCUAUUUAUAUCUAUUCUAGUAUCUAACUUCAAUAAAGGUAAAACAAUUGACAUCUAUAAUAAUAAUAUUUUUAUUAUAAAUACAUUGUAUCGUACAGUUUAUGCAAUAAUAUAUUAUAUACCUAUAUAUAAAUUA
Aphis gossypii (cotton aphid) is the source of this 734-nucleotide long non-coding RNA. RefSeq lists it as uncharacterized. NCBI's taxonomy places the organism in Eukaryota, Metazoa, Arthropoda, Insecta, Hemiptera, Aphididae. The record is from RefSeq and is a predicted model, not a curated record. The transcript has 3 exons.